This 241-nucleotide ribosomal RNA is filed under the name uncultured bacterium. RNAcentral describes it as "partial 16S ribosomal RNA". It matches the Rfam family "Bacterial small subunit ribosomal RNA", at positions 524 to 762 of the family's 1533-position model. The record is from RNAcentral.
UACGAAGGGGGCUAGCGUUGCUCGGAAUCACUGGGCGUAAAGCGCACGUAGGCGGAUCUUUAAGUCAGGGGUGAAAUCCCGGAGCUCAACUCCGGAACUGCCUUUGAUACUGGGGAUCUUGGAGUCCGGGAGAGGUGAGUGGAACUCCUAGUGUAGGGUGGUGAAUUCGUAGAUAUUAGGAAGAACACCAGUGGCGAAGGCGGCUCACUGGUCCGGUACUGACGCUGAGGUGCGAAAGCGU